Molecule: ribosomal RNA, 488 nt
Filed under: uncultured bacterium
Lineage: Bacteria
Description: bacterial SSU rRNA
Rfam family: Bacterial small subunit ribosomal RNA
Source: RNAcentral
UAAAGCGAGCGCAGGCGGAAAAAUAAGUCUAAUGUGAAAGCCCUCGGCUUAACCGAGGAACUGCAUCGGAAACUGUUUUUCUUGAGUGCAGAAGAGGAGAGUGGAACUCCAUGUGUAGCGGUGGAAUGCGUAGAUAUAUGGAAGAACACCAGUGGCGAAGGCGGCUCUCUGGUCUGCAACUGACGCUGAGGCUCGAAAGCAUGGGUAGCGAACAGGAUUAGAUACCCUGGUAGUCCAUGCCGUAAACGAUGAGUGCUAAGUGUUGGGAGGUUUCCGCCUCUCAGUGCUGCASUAACGCAUUAAGCACUCCCCCUGGGGAGUACGACCGCAAGGUUGAAACUCAAAGGAAUUGACGGGGGCCCGCACAAGCGGUGGAGCAUGUGGUUUAAUUCGAAGCAACGCGAAGAACCUUACCAGGUCUUGACAUCUAGUGCCAUUUGUAGAGAUACAAAGUUCUUCGGGGACGCUAAGACAGGUGGUGCAUGGCU